GCCUAGGGGCGCAGCAGUGAGGAAUAUUGGUCAAUGGUCGGGAGACUGAACCAGCCAAGCCGCGUGAGGGAGGAAGGUACAGAGUAUCGUAAACCUCUUUUGUCAGGGGACAAAGACUGGGACGCGUCCCCGGAUGAGUGUACCUGAAGAAAAAGCAUCGGCUAACUCCGUGCCAGCAGCCGCGGUAAUACGGAGGAUGCGAGCGUUAUCCGGAUUUAUUGGGUUUAAAGGGUGCGCAGGCGGUCUGUUAAGACAGCGGUCAAAGCCCGGGGCUCAACACCGGCCCGCCGUUGAAACUGGCAGUC
This 305-nucleotide ribosomal RNA is filed under the name uncultured bacterium. RNAcentral's name for it is "bacterial SSU rRNA". It matches the Rfam family "Bacterial small subunit ribosomal RNA", at positions 337 to 641 of the family's 1533-position model. The record is from RNAcentral.